UACGUAGGCAGCGAGCGUUGUUCGGAAUUACUGGGCGUAAAGAGUGUGUGGGCGGUGCUCUAAGUCUGUCGUGAAAUCUCCCGGCUUAACCGGGAGGCUGCGGCGGAAACUGGUGUGCUAGAGGGUGGGAGAGGUAAGCGGAAUUCCUGGUGUAGCGGUGAAAUGCGUAGAUAUCAGGAGGAACACCUGCGGUGUAGACAGCUUACUGGACCACUUCUGACGCUGAGACACGAAAGCGUGGGUAGCAAACAGG
This 253-nucleotide ribosomal RNA is filed under the name uncultured bacterium. RNAcentral describes it as "partial 16S ribosomal RNA". It matches the Rfam family "Bacterial small subunit ribosomal RNA", at positions 524 to 776 of the family's 1533-position model. The record is from RNAcentral.